RNAcentral lists this ribosomal RNA (254 nucleotides) under uncultured bacterium. RNAcentral's name for it is "partial 16S ribosomal RNA". It matches the Rfam family "Bacterial small subunit ribosomal RNA", at positions 524 to 776 of the family's 1533-position model. The record is from RNAcentral.
UACGGGGGGAGCAAGCGUUGUUCGGAUUUACUGGGCGUAAAGGGCGCGUAGGCGGUCAGCACAAGUCAGUUGUGAAAUCUCCGGGCUUAACUCGGAAAGGUCAACUGAUACUGUGCGACUAGAGUGCGGAAGGGGCAACUGGAAUUCUUGGUGUAGCGGUGAAAUGCGUAGAUAUCAAGAGGAACACCUGCGGCGAAGGCGGGUUGCUGGGCCGACACUGACGCUGAGGCGCGAAAGCCAGGGGAGCGAACAGG